This 109-nucleotide ribosomal RNA is filed under the name Oryctolagus cuniculus (rabbit). The record is from RNAcentral. Lineage: Eukaryota; Metazoa; Chordata; Mammalia; Lagomorpha; Leporidae.
GACUAUGGCCAUACCACUCUGAACAUGCCCAAUCUAAUCUGAUCUUGGAAGCUAAGCAGGGUUGGACCUUGUUAGCACUUGUAUGGGAAAUACAUGAACUUUGUAUACC